This 209-nucleotide long non-coding RNA is filed under the name Carica papaya (papaya). Its description in RNAcentral is "long non-coding RNA (CPAP_LNC007475)". The record is from RNAcentral. Lineage: Eukaryota; Viridiplantae; Streptophyta; Magnoliopsida; Brassicales; Caricaceae.
AUUCAUUGGGGGUUUAUAGGGAUGUCCCCGCUACGUAUGAAUCAUUUUCUUUAACAUUCUCAAUUAACGGGCUGUCCUCAUACCCCGUUCUGUAUGAACACUAAGUUACUAAACCUCAAUACCCCGUCUAGUAUGAGGGUGAAACGGGCUGUCCCCAUACCCGUCCGGUAUGAGCGCCAAAUUAUCAAGUAUCGAUACCCGUCCAGUAU